This is a long non-coding RNA of Portunus trituberculatus (swimming crab), 709 nucleotides long. RefSeq lists it as uncharacterized. The record is from RefSeq and is a predicted model, not a curated record. Lineage: Eukaryota; Metazoa; Arthropoda; Malacostraca; Decapoda; Portunidae. The transcript has 2 exons.
CCUCCUCCUCCUCCUCCUCCUCCUCCUCCUCCUCCUCCUCCUCCUUGUCCUUGUCUUUUCUCAGUCUUCCUUGUCCUCCUACAGUCCCACUACUCCUCAAUUAAGAUAGUUUUGUUUCCUGGAGAGAGAGAGAGAGAGAGAGAGAGAGAGAGAGAGAGAGAGAGAGAGAGAGAAUGGGGUAUCUAGUUUACGAAGUAUUUAUGUAGUAGCAACAGCAGCAGCAGCAGCAGUAGCAGCAUUUACCUGUCCUAAUUAACUUUACCAUUUAUCAACAACACCUCUAUCGACUGAAUCUCUCUCUCUCUCUCUCUCUCUCUCUCUCUCUCUCUCUCUCUCUCUCUCUCUCUCUCUCUCUCUCUCUCUCUCUCUCUCUCUCUCUGUGUGUGUGUGUGUGUGUGUGUGUGUGUGUGUGUGUGUGUCCUUGGCCCAUAGCUCAGGUGUACAUGAGCGCGUGUCACCUGUGUAGUAUACACACACACACACACACACACACACACACACACACACAGACACAGACAAAGAUAAGAAUUGGAAAAUCUGAGAAAGGGAAAGGGAGAGGAAGUAUUAAUGGGAAUGGGGAAAGCAGAAGAGUUGGUAGAUUACGGAAGAGAGAGAGAGAGAGAGAGAGAGAGAGAGAGAGAGAGAGAGAUUAGAUAAACAUAGACUAGUGGGAAGAAUUGAAAUAAAGUAAGAUAAAAAAAAAAGAAAA